This 643-nucleotide ribosomal RNA is filed under the name uncultured bacterium. RNAcentral describes it as "bacterial SSU rRNA". It matches the Rfam family "Bacterial small subunit ribosomal RNA", at positions 232 to 885 of the family's 1533-position model. The record is from RNAcentral.
CGCGGCCUAUCAGCUUGUUGGUGAGGUAAUGGCUCACCAAGGCGACGACGGGUAGCCGGCCUGAGAGGGUGACCGGCCACACUGGGACUGAGACACGGCCCAGACUCCUACGGGAGGCAGCAGUGGGGAAUAUUGCACAAUGGGCGAAAGCCUGAUGCAGCGACGCCGCGUGAGGGAUGACGGCCUUCGGGUUGUAAACCUCUUUCGACAGGGACGAAGCGCAAGUGACGGUACCUGUAGAAGAAGCACCGGCUAACUACGUGCCAGCAGCCGCGGUAAUACGUAGGGUGCGAGCGUUGUCCGGAAUUAUUGGGCGUAAAGAGCUCGUAGGCGGUUUGUCGCGUCGACUGUGAAAACUGGGGGCUUAACUCUCAGCUUGCAGUCGAUACGGGCAGACUUGAGUUCGGUAGGGGAGACUGGAAUUCCUGGUGUAGCGGUGAAAUGCGCAGAUAUCAGGAGGAACACCGGUGGCGAAGGCGGGUCUCUGGGCCGAUACUGACGCUGAGGAGCGAAAGCGUGGGGAGCGAACAGGAUUAGAUACCCUGGUAGUCCACCCCGUAAACGUUGGGCGCUAGGUGUGGGGCUCAUUCCACGAGUUCCGUGCCGCAGCUAACGCAUUAAGCGCCCCGCCUGGGGAGUACGG